This 490-nucleotide ribosomal RNA is filed under the name uncultured bacterium. Its description in RNAcentral is "partial 16S ribosomal RNA". It matches the Rfam family "Bacterial small subunit ribosomal RNA", at positions 30 to 507 of the family's 1533-position model. The record is from RNAcentral.
AUUGAACGCUGGCGGCAGGCCUAACACAUGCAAGUCGAACGGUAACAGGAAGAAUCUUGCUUCUUUGCUGACGAGUGGCGGACGGGUGAGUAAUGUCUGGGAAACUGCCUGAUGGAGGGGGAUAACUACUGGAAACGGUAGCUAAUACCGCAUAACGUCGCAAGACCAAAAAGGGGGACCUUCGGGCCUCUUGCCAUCGGAUGUGCCCAGAUGGGAUUAGCUAGUAGGUGGGGUAACGGCUCACCUAGGCGACGAUCCCUAGCUGGUCUGAGAGGAUGACCACACACCUUGGAACUGAGACACGGCCCAGACUCCUACGGGAGGCAGCAGUGGGGAAUAUUGCACAAUGGGCGCAAGCCUGAUGCAGCCAUGCCGCGUGUAUGAAGAAGGCCUUCGGGUUGUAAAGUACUUUCAGCGGGGAGGAAGGGAGUAAAGUUAAUACCUUUGCUCAUUGACGUUACCCGCAGAAGAAGCACCGGCUAACUCCGUG